Molecule: ribosomal RNA, 451 nt
Filed under: uncultured bacterium
Lineage: Bacteria
Description: partial 16S ribosomal RNA
Rfam family: Bacterial small subunit ribosomal RNA
Source: RNAcentral
GACGAACGCUGGCGGCAGGCCUAACACAUGCAAGUCGAACGGGUGUAGCAAUACAUCAGUGGCGCACGGGAGAGUAAUGCGUGGGAACCUACCUUUUGGUUCGGAAUAACGUCGGGAAACUGACGCUAAUACCGGAUAAGCCCUACGCGGGAAAGAUUUAUCGCCGAAAGAUGAGCCCGCGUUAGAUUAGCUUGUUGGUGAGGUAACGGCUCACCAAGGCUACGAUCUAUAGCAGGUCUAAGAGGAUGAUCAGCCUCACUGGGACUGAGACACGGCCCAGACUACUACGGGAGGCAGCAGUGGGGAAUAUUGGACAAUGGGGGCAACCCUGAUCCAGCCAUGCCGGGUGGAUGAUGAAGGCCUUCGGGUUGUAAAGUUCUUUUGGCGGGGACGAUGAUGACGGUACCCGCAGAAUAAGCUCCGGCUAACUUCGUGCCAGCCGCCGCCGUAA